AUUGAACGCUGGCGGCAGGCCUAACACAUGCAAGUCGAGCGGAUGAAGGGAGCUUGCUCCUGAAUUCAGCGGCGGACGGGUGAGUAAUGCCUAGGAAUCUGCCUGGUAGUGGGGGAUAACGUCCGGAAACGGGCGCUAAUACCGCAUACGUCCUGAGGGAGAAAGUGGGGGAUCUUCGGACCUCACGCCAUCAGAUGAGCCUAGGUCGGAUUAGCUAGUUGGUGGGGUAAAGGCCUACCAAGGCGACGAUCCGUAACUGGUCUGAGAGGAUGAUCAGUCACACUGGAACUGAGACACGGUCCAGACUCCUACGGGAGGCAGCAGUGGGGAAUAUUGGACAAUGGGCGAAAGCCUGAUCCAGCCAUGCCGCGUGUGUGAAGAAGGUCUUCGGAUUGUAAAGCACUUUAAGUUGGGAGGAAGGGCAGUAAGUUAAUACCUUGCUGUUUUGACGUUACCAACAGAAUAAGCACCGGCUAACUUCGUG
Molecule: ribosomal RNA, 484 nt
Filed under: uncultured bacterium
Lineage: Bacteria
Description: partial 16S ribosomal RNA
Rfam family: Bacterial small subunit ribosomal RNA
Source: RNAcentral